GAUCAUGGCUCAGAUUGAACGCUGGCGGCAUGCCUUACACAUGCAAGUCGAACGGCAGCACGGGAGCAAUCCUGGUGGCGAGUGGCGAACGGGUGAGUAAUAUAUCGGAACGUGCCCAGUCGUGGGGGAUAACGUAGCGAAAGCUACGCUAAUACCGCAUACGAUCUAUGGAUGAAAGCGGGGGAUCGCAAGACCUCGCGCGAUUGGAGCGGCCGAUAUCAGAUUAGGUAGUUGGUGAGGUAAAGGCUCACCAAGCCGACGAUCUGUAGCUGGUCUGAGAGGACGACCAGCCACACUGGGACUGAGACACGGCCCAGACUCCUACGGGAGGCAGCAGUGGGGAAUAUUGGACAAUGGGCGAAAGCCUGAUCCAGCAAUGCCGCGUGAGUGAUGAAGGCCUUCGGGUUGUAAAGCUCUUUUACUCGGGACGAUAAUGACGGUACCGAGAGAAUAAGCCCCGGCUAACUCCGUG
This 472-nucleotide ribosomal RNA is filed under the name uncultured bacterium. RNAcentral describes it as "bacterial SSU rRNA". It matches the Rfam family "Bacterial small subunit ribosomal RNA", at positions 15 to 507 of the family's 1533-position model. The record is from RNAcentral.